Non-coding RNA from Prunus mume (Japanese apricot), 1105 nucleotides. Lineage: Eukaryota; Viridiplantae; Streptophyta; Magnoliopsida; Rosales; Rosaceae. The record is from RefSeq and is a predicted model, not a curated record.
GGCUUUGAGGUUCUGGAACAUUGGCUCAGUAUUAGCGGGUCGGGUUCGGGUUGACAAUCUUCUGACCCGCCCAUUCCAAGCAAGGAGUUGAACCAUGUGGCUCGAGCGAAGGCUCUGGGUCUCUUGGUUCCUAGAGAGGAGGAAACCGCGUAAGGCUGGCUUCACAGAGCAACGAUUACCUCCCGCUCUUGGCAGUGGAAGGAUAACGGGUCGGUGUCACUCGGAUCCACCAUGGCCCGCUAGACUGUCCCAAUUGGACCAAACCUUUUUGCGGUUUUCUUCCUCAGAUUUGGGAAGCUACAAUGCCAAAAUCGAAGUCUGAGAUGGAGGACAAAAGUGACUCCAACACUGCAAGAGUGACUGCUUCUACUUCUCUCAACUUCUCAUGAUCCUUGUUGACGGAAGAGAAAGCGAAUUUGUUUGCUAUUGCCUUCAAACUACCCACAGCCUUGUUGAUUGUCUUUUUCACCAUCUUCCUAGAGGAUGACAUCCUUGGCACUGCUGCAAACAUCCAAGAGUCUGAGAGAGGCUUCUAAUAUAUCAUUAGCCCAUUUCUCAUUCUGCUCUUGGGCUAAGGCCUGUUGAGUGAGGGGCAACUGAAGCAACCUAUCAACACAAUCAUGCAAUUCUUGGAGGCCACUUAAUUUGUGGCUUAUUGAUGAUGAUGAAGACGUGGAGGCGGCCUCAGAAGACCUCAAGCUACACAAAUGUUCUUCAACUUCUUGAAUGAUUGGGUGUGGCCUUGAAGGGAAGCUGUUGGAGCGAUGUAGGUUGCGGAGGGGGACAUGGAAUCUCAUCCACUACAAUCAUCAGUGAGAGGUCCUUGACAUGAUUGUUAAGCAAGCAGCAAGCCUGAUCUAUAAUUUUAAGGCUUUCCAAAUCAUUGUAUUGCAUGAAGCAAGUAAGCCAUAUGAUCAUAGACUUAAUCCCUUUUUUAGUCUCCAAUUGUCCCCCUAACCGAGACAGUCAGCAUAUGUUUACUGCUGAAGUAUGUGCGAAUCAAGUCCUCCAUUUCAUGCCAUUGAUUGUUGAUUAUUUAUUCUCUUUCUUGAGACAAUUGGAAUCUUGACAGCCUCGACAUUUGAUAUAAUUGGCUUAAAUCCCA